CCUACGGGUGGCAGCAGUGGGGAAUAUUGCGCAAUGGGCGAAAGCCUGACGCAGCGACGCCGUGUGAGGGAUGAAGGUCUUCGGAUCGUAAACCUCUGUCAGCAGGGAAGAACGGUCACUGUGCUAAUCAGCAGUGAAUUGACGGUACCUGCACUGUAAGCACCGGCUAACUCCGUGCCAGCAGCCGCGGGAAUUCGGAGGGUGCGAGCGUUAAUUGGAAUUACUGGGCGUAAGGCGCUCGUAGGCGGUAUGGCAAGUCGAGGGUGAAAUGCCCGGGCUCAACGUGGGAACGGCCUUUGAAACUGGCAAACUGGAGUGUGUGAGAGGAUAGUGGAAUUCCAGGUGUAGGAGUGAAAUGCGUAGAUAUCUGGAGGAACAUCAGUGGCGAAGGCGACUAUCUGGCACAUAACUGACGCUGAGGAACGAAGGCGUGGGUAGCGAACGGGAUUAGAUACCCUUGUAGUC
RNAcentral lists this ribosomal RNA (465 nucleotides) under uncultured bacterium. Its description in RNAcentral is "partial 16S ribosomal RNA". It matches the Rfam family "Bacterial small subunit ribosomal RNA", at positions 338 to 795 of the family's 1533-position model. The record is from RNAcentral.